Molecule: ribosomal RNA, 516 nt
Filed under: uncultured bacterium
Lineage: Bacteria
Description: partial 16S ribosomal RNA
Rfam family: Bacterial small subunit ribosomal RNA
Source: RNAcentral
GACGAACGCUGGCGGCGUGCCUAACACAUGCAAGUCGAACGGAGAAUUUAGCAAUGAAUUCUUAGUGGCGAACGGGUGAGUAACGCGUAGACAACCUGCCUUUUAGAUGGGGACAACACCGCGAAAGUGGUGCUAAUACCGAAUGUUGCAUUUUGAUCGCAUGAUUGAGAUACUAAAGAUGGCCUCUAUUUAUAAGCUAUCGCUAAAAGAUGGGUCUGCGUCUGAUUAGCUAGUUGGUGAGGUAAUGACUCACCAAGGCGACGAUCAGUAGCCGGUCUGAGAGGAUGAACGGCCACACUGGGACUGAGACACGGCCCAGACUCCUACGGGAGGCAGCAGUGGGGAAUCUUCCGCAAUGGACGAAAGUCUGACGGAGCAACACCGCGUGAGUGAAGAAGGUUUUCGGAUCGUAAAACCCUGUUUUCAGGGACGAAUGUGCAGAUUGUGAAUAAUGAUUUGUAAUGACGGUACCUGAGUAGAAAGCCACGGCUAACUACGUGCCAGCCGCCGCGGUAA